UUACGGCCAUAUUAGGUCGGAAUAUCGAUACUCGUACGAACACCGAAGUUAAGAAACGUCGAGCCUGGUCAGUAUCUAGAUGGGUGACCGCUUGUGAAUACCG
Acanthosepion pharaonis is the source of this 103-nucleotide non-coding RNA. The record is from the annotation of a GenBank genome assembly. Lineage: Eukaryota; Metazoa; Mollusca; Cephalopoda; Sepiida; Sepiidae.